RNAcentral lists this ribosomal RNA (497 nucleotides) under uncultured bacterium. Its description in RNAcentral is "partial 16S ribosomal RNA". It matches the Rfam family "Bacterial small subunit ribosomal RNA", at positions 28 to 507 of the family's 1533-position model. The record is from RNAcentral.
GAUGAACGCUGGCGGCGUGCCUAAUACAUGCAAGUCGAGCGAACAGACGAGGAGCUUGCUCCUCUGACGUUAGCGGCGGACGGGUGAGUAACACGUGGAUAACCUACCUAUAAGACUGGGAUAACUUCGGGAAACCGGAGCUAAUACCGGAUAACAUGUUGAACCGCAUGGUUCAACAGUGAAAGACGGUUUUGCUGUCACUUAUAGAUGGAUCCGCGUCGCAUUAGCUAGUUGGUAAGGUAACGGCUUACCAAGGCAACGAUGCGUAGCCGACCUGAGAGGGUGAUCGGCCACACUGGAACUGAGACACGGUCCAGACUCCUACGGGAGGCAGCAGUAGGGAAUCUUCCGCAAAGGGCGAAAGCCUGACGGAGCAACGCCGCGUGAGUGAAGAAGGUCUUCGGAUCGUAAAACUCUGUUAGUAGGGAAGAACAAAUGUGUAAGUAACUAUGCACGUCUUGACGGUACCUAAUCAGAAAGCCACGGCUAACUACGUG